CCAUCUAUCACAGCCCACAUUGAAUAUACUCUAACGUCCCUCGACACUCAGCAGCUUUGUGGUCUGGUUCACCUCUGUUCAUCUUACUAAACUUCCAGAUAGCAAUAUGAUAAUUUUUCCAAAUCAAAUAGUCAUUUAUAAAAUCUCUUAAGUAUAGAAAAGAAACUGUUAGGCAAGAAUUUACAUCAGUAGGGGAUCAAUGAUUCAAAGAUGCCUGUUUUAUAAACACACACACACACACACACACACACACACACACCCCUGGCUUUAAAUUCCUCAUCUUCUACAACCCAGUCUCAAAAGUUGCUUUUGCCUAAACUACUAUCACAAACGUCCACGAGUCAAGACCGGUUUGCCUGUGAUCUGACAGUCUGAAAACAAAAAGGAAACUGAUGCAUUGAAAUAGAGAAGAUCACAUGCCCAGGGCUGGUAUCACUCACAGUGUGCUGGACCAUCCUACAUCAACCAUUAAUCAAGAAAAUCCACUCUCACAGACCUGCUCGUGGCUAAUCUGAUAGUGGCAGUUCUUCAGUUGAUGUUCCCUCUUAUCAGCACUGAGCACUGAAUCCAGGCUCCAAAAAA
Microtus oregoni (creeping vole) is the source of this 582-nucleotide long non-coding RNA. RefSeq lists it as uncharacterized. The transcript is spliced from 3 exons. Lineage: Eukaryota; Metazoa; Chordata; Mammalia; Rodentia; Cricetidae. The record is from RefSeq and is a predicted model, not a curated record.